ACGUAUGGUGCAAGCGUUAUCCGGAUUUACUGGGUGUAAAGGAAGCGCAGGCGGUGCGGCAAGUCUGAUGUGAAAGCCCGGGGCUCAACCCCGGUACUGCAUUGGAAACUGUCGUACUAGAGUGUCGGAGGGGUAAGCGGAAUUCCUAGUGUAGCGGUGAAAUGCGUAGAUAUUAGGAGGAACACCAGUGGCGAAGGCGGCUUACUGGACGAUAACUGACGCUGAGGCUCGAAAGCGUGGGGAGCAAACAG
Molecule: ribosomal RNA, 251 nt
Filed under: uncultured bacterium
Lineage: Bacteria
Description: partial 16S ribosomal RNA
Rfam family: Bacterial small subunit ribosomal RNA
Source: RNAcentral